Molecule: ribosomal RNA, 508 nt
Filed under: uncultured bacterium
Lineage: Bacteria
Description: partial 16S ribosomal RNA
Rfam family: Bacterial small subunit ribosomal RNA
Source: RNAcentral
AUUGAACGCUGGCGGCAUGCCUUACACAUGCAAGUCGAACGGCAGCGGGGGAGAAGCUUGCUUUUCCUGCCGGCGAGUGGCGAACGGGUGAGUAAUACAUCGGAACGUGCCCUGUAGUGGGGGAUAACUAGUCGAAAGAUUAGCUAAUACCGCAUACGACCUGAGGGUGAAAGUGGGGGACCGCAAGGCCUCAUGCUAUAGGAGCGGCCGAUGUCUGAUUAGCUAGUUGGUGGGGUAAAGGCCUACCAAGGCGACGAUCAGUAGCUGGUCUGGGAGGACGAUCAGCCACACUUGGACUGAGACACGGCCCAGAGUCCUACGGGAGGAAGCAGUGGGGAAUUUUGGACAAGGGGCGAAAGCCUGAUCCAGCAAUGCCGCGUGUGUGAAGAAGGCCUUCUUGUUGUAAAUCACUUUUGUCCGGAAAGAAAUGGCUCUGGUUAAUACCUGGGGUCGAUGACGGUACCGGAAGAUUAAGGACCGGCUAACUACGUGCCAGCCGCCGCCGUAA